This 22-nucleotide microRNA is filed under the name Brachypodium distachyon (stiff brome). RNAcentral's name for it is "bdi-miR7768b-3p". The record is from miRBase by way of RNAcentral. Lineage: Eukaryota; Viridiplantae; Streptophyta; Magnoliopsida; Poales; Poaceae.
CGGCGCCGUCCUCGACCGGGAG